RNAcentral lists this ribosomal RNA (292 nucleotides) under uncultured bacterium. RNAcentral describes it as "partial 16S ribosomal RNA". It matches the Rfam family "Bacterial small subunit ribosomal RNA", at positions 505 to 796 of the family's 1533-position model. The record is from RNAcentral.
GUGUCAGCAGCCGCGGUAAUACAGAGGUCUCGAGCGUUGUUCGGAUUCAUUGGGCGUAAAGGGUGCGUAGGCGGCGAGGCAAGUCUGAUGUGAAAUCCCGGGGCUCAACUCCGGAACUGCAUUGGAUACUGCCUUGCUCGAGUACUGGAGAGGAGACUGGAAUUUACGGUGUAGCAGUGAAAUGCGUAGAGAUCGUAAGGAAGACCAGUGGCGAAGGCGAGUCUCUGGACAGUUACUGACGCUGAGGCACGAAGGCCAGGGGAGCAAACGGGAUUAGAUACCCCCGUAGUCC